AGUGAACGCUGGCGGUAGGCCUAACACAUGCAAGUCGAACGGCAGCACAGUAAGAGCUUGCUCUUACGGGUGGCGAGUGGCGGACGGGUGAGGAAUACAUCGGAAUCUACUUUUUCGUGGGGGAUAACGUAGGGAAACUUACGCUAAUACCGCAUACGACCUACGGGUGAAAGCAGGGGAUCUUCGGACCUUGCGCGAUUGAAUGAGCCGAUGUCGGAUUAGCUAGUUGGCGGGGUAAAGGCCCACCAAGGCGACGAUCCGUAGCUGGUCUGAGAGGAUGAUCAGCCACACUGGAACUGAGACGCGGUCCAGACUCCUACGGGAGGCAGCAGUGGGGAAUAUUGGACAAUGGGCGCAAGCCUGAUCCAGCCAUACCGCGUGGGUGAAGAAGGCCUUCGGGUUGUAAGGCCCUUUUGUUGGGAAAGAAAAGCAGCAGGUUAAUACCCCGCUGUUCUGACGGUACCCAAAGAAUAAGCACCGGCUAACUUCGUG
This 492-nucleotide ribosomal RNA is filed under the name uncultured bacterium. RNAcentral describes it as "partial 16S ribosomal RNA". It matches the Rfam family "Bacterial small subunit ribosomal RNA", at positions 29 to 507 of the family's 1533-position model. The record is from RNAcentral.